GCAGCCCUGUGCUUGCUUCCAGCCUCCGCUCACCCCCGGGUCGGAACCCCGCUCCCCGCGCGGAGCGUCUGCGAUCAGAUAGAAGGGUGGAGGGGCUGGGCUCACUUUCGCAGCAGGCGGUGAUGCAGAAAUGUGGGCCAAGAUGACUACACACAGAUUCACUCAAGCUUCUGUUCUGUUGGAGAAAAACUGGAAACAACCGAAAUGUUUACCUUUAGGGAAAAGGCUUAAUAUGGUGGUAACCAAGUGUUACUUUAUUGCUUGAUGUGGAGCCUUUCUUCAAGUGGAAUAUUUUAUGAAAGUCUAAUGCACAGUUGGACCGAUUGAAGCUGGGCAGGGGGCUCUGUUGUAUCCCACCUGGACUGCCGGACCCAGUCAGUCCCUAGUUUCCCCUGUGAUGGCUCUUGGGGCACUUCAGUGGCAAACGUGCUCCAUGGCAUAGCAAGAGAGCCACCCACUUGGUCAAUUGUGAGAUAUUAGUAUCUGCCUUCCCCUCUCACGGGUGUAAUUAUGGACAGUUCUCUCCCUAAUUAUUUUUACUUUUCUGAACUUGCCAAAUGUUUCAUUAAUAUAUUUUUAUUGCCACUAAAAUAUUUAUCUUAAGAUAUUAAAGAUAAUGUCACUUUACUAUUUUAGAAUUAGAUGUAUGAGUGUCCUGAGGACCACAACACUUGUGUCAGCCCGGCCAGCAUAUUCUUCCCUCUUGGCAGAUCUCCAGGUUUAUGUGGAAAACCUUAUAAAACAGAAAAGCAAGACGAAGAACACCAAAACCACUGAUAAUCCAACCACCUAAAGAAAACUACUGUUAGUAUUUUUAUUUUUUUUUAAUUUUUUGGUCACAAUUCAUUUUAUUAAUAGAAAAUAAACCCUUAUUCCAGUUUCAAAGUUGUUAUACUUGAAGACACUAAUAAAAAAUGAAUUUAAAAUAA
Lemur catta (Ring-tailed lemur) is the source of this 929-nucleotide long non-coding RNA. RefSeq lists it as uncharacterized. The transcript has 2 exons. The record is from RefSeq and is a predicted model, not a curated record. Lineage: Eukaryota; Metazoa; Chordata; Mammalia; Primates; Lemuridae.